UCCUCAAUAGUCUAGGCGGUUAUGAUAUGUGGUUUUCACCCACAAGACCCGGGUUCGAGUCCCGGUUGAGGAA
Molecule: transfer RNA, 73 nt
Filed under: Anaerolineales bacterium
Lineage: Bacteria; Bacillati; Chloroflexota; Anaerolineae; Anaerolineales
Description: tRNA-Glu
Rfam family: tRNA
About the family: Transfer RNA (tRNA) molecules are approximately 80 nucleotides in length. Their secondary structure includes four short double-helical elements and three loops (D, anti-codon, and T loops). Further hydrogen bonds mediate the characteristic L-shaped molecular structure. tRNAs have two regions of fundamental functional importance: the anti-codon, which is responsible for specific mRNA codon recognition, and the 3' end, to which the tRNAs corresponding amino acid is attached (by aminoacyl-tRNA synthetases). tRNAs cope with the degeneracy of the genetic code in two manners: having more than one tRNA (with a specific anti-codon) for a particular amino acid; and 'wobble' base-pairing, i.e. permitting non-standard base-pairing at the 3rd anti-codon position.
Source: RNAcentral